UCCUCCCGAGGCCACUGUGUCUGCUCAGCAUUGGGGUGGGAGCGGCGGUGCAGACCCUGCCGGGAGGGGCGGGGAGAAGAGGUGUUGGGGUCUGCGCGAUCAGGCCCAGGGCGGUGCCAGUGAGCCGGCUGGCUGGUUUGUGUGGGAAGGUGCCUCCUGGAGAACCAAGCCACCCUCUGCCUCAGUGAAAUGAAGUUAAUGAGACCCACCUCAUCUCAUCAAUGAGCCAGUAAAGCCUGUAGAUAUCCCAGGUCUCACCUUGGCCCUGCCUCUUGGUCCUCUGGGAGCUCCCGAACACCAGCUUCCUGGCUCAGGGCCACGCCUCUCUGGGAUUCUUUUCUGUCCUCACAUCCCAGCUGAACACUAGGUUUGCCUAGCAGGAUGAGUGUACCGGACCCAGAAGGCAGUUCCCCGACUCCUGCUGUGUUCCUGGUCUCUCCUGGUCACAGAAGAUGGACGCUAACACAUGAGUGCCCGUUCAAAGACUGCAAGCACUCUUACCAUGUGCUAUCAGGCCAAAUGACUGUCAAGAGUCUUCUCCAACACCACUGUUCAAAAGCAUCAAUUCUUUGGUGCUUAGCCUGGAGAAGGCAGAAAUGUGAAUAAAAACCCUAUCCUGUACAAUGCUUCAUUUUUCUUCCAUGGGUUCAGAAUGCUGGCUCCAUUCUCCCACCUUGGCUUCACUCUGGGGUAGCGAUGUGAUCUUCGAGGGCUGAACCAUGUGAGGUCACACAGGGAAUGACAGUGAUGCUGGGUACCUUCCAAGGCUGGACCCUAAGAAGACACUUGCAAUUUCUGCCUUCAAGUUUAGCACAGUAUAAUUUGAAAUCCAGCUUUAUGCUGAGGCCACCAUGCUGUAAGGAAGCCCAAGCUGGUCACAUGGAGAGAAGGAGGCUACUGGAGAAACUCUGGGACACUGGACACACAUGAGGGAAGGCUUUUGGAUUGUCCAUCCCAGCAAGCCACCAAGCAGAAUCAGCCAAGUGGAUGACUGCAACCAACAGCUCUGUCACAAAGAACAGAACCACCCAGCUGAGUCCUGACGAAUUCCUGACCUAAAGGAUCAUGAGGAAUAAUUACUUUUGGGUUGUUUGUUAUACAGCAAUCGAUAACUAAAACAAUUAUAUUCCCAUUGCAUAGGUAAAGACGCUGGGACUAAGAUGGCCUAUAUCGUAAACUUCUAAGCAACAGCAUUGGUUUCCAACCCAGAGUGCCUGAAUCUAAUGUUCAUAUUCGCUCUGCAUACCUUGAUGGGAGAGUCAUUCUCCACUGCAGUUUUUGGACUGUGGGGACACUGGGGGCUCCGAAUCCCAGCCAUUUGGCUCUGUCCUCUCCAUUCUCUCUGGAGAAAGAUGGGGGCCUUACCCUCAAUUCUGGAAAACCCAGAACCCCAAACCUUCCUCUGUGCCUUUACCCUCACCAUUAGCUUUCCAAGAGGAAUCAGAAAGGCAGAAACGUGGUUGGAUACCAAGAGAAACCUUGGCAAAGCUUUGCUUCACCUCCCUCAAAGUUUGAUUGGAAAUGCCAUUCUAAGUUUUUUCAGUGUUAGUGGGGGUGAAGCUAGUUUUGAUGACAGCAAAACCUGAUGUUACUAAGGACAUUUUCAUCACAUUCUACCGUUUAUCAAGUUAAAUUUCGAGUUUGGGUGGCCUUAUAAAUCUACCCUCAUAUUUCCCAGAAACAGGAAAACAAACUCCCCACACCCUGAAUUAGGACAAGGGCUGACCUGAGAACUCAGCACACCACCAGAGGCUUCUGGUUCUCUUUCCCUAGAUCCCCUCAGUCUGCUCAUUAAAGGGGAUCCCAGUUCUCCCCCAGCUUGCAGAUACAGACCCUAGAUGUGUACCAGAGUGAAUAAGAAGAAUGCCAAGGGCGGGAUCCGGCACUCUUCACCACCAGGAGAGCCCAGUUCUGGAAGACAGAUGGGGACCCAGGUGAUGACCCCUGAGAGGCCCGUUCUAUCAAAAC
Bubalus bubalis (water buffalo) is the source of this 1968-nucleotide long non-coding RNA. RefSeq lists it as uncharacterized. The transcript is spliced from 7 exons. The record is from RefSeq and is a predicted model, not a curated record. Lineage: Eukaryota; Metazoa; Chordata; Mammalia; Artiodactyla; Bovidae.